RNAcentral lists this long non-coding RNA (232 nucleotides) under Nicotiana benthamiana. RNAcentral's name for it is "long non-coding RNA (NBEN_LNC022512)". Lineage: Eukaryota; Viridiplantae; Streptophyta; Magnoliopsida; Solanales; Solanaceae. The record is from RNAcentral.
AUAUAUUUCUUUCGUGCCUUCUCACAUGGUACCAGAGCAGUGGUUGGUGAGACACAUCCGGGAACUAGAAUACAGAGCCAGAAGUCACAGUGCCUCAAUUUUCCGGUGACUUUUCAAGGCUGCCUCGCAUCAUCUCGCUCUCCAUCAGUGUUGUACAAAAUCCAACACUAUCACAAGAUUCGUCAUCGUCCCACGACCAAACCUUAGUGACCACUCCGACAGCAGCCUCCUC